This 640-nucleotide long non-coding RNA is filed under the name Helianthus annuus (common sunflower). Its description in RNAcentral is "hypothetical non coding rna". The record is from RNAcentral. Lineage: Eukaryota; Viridiplantae; Streptophyta; Magnoliopsida; Asterales; Asteraceae.
AUGCUCGAUGCACUUUGCCAGGCUGAGAUUGGUCGGAUACCCACGGUGGAUGCUCUCUCCAAAAGAAAUGUCAUGUUAAACUAAUGUUGCAUGAUAUAUACAUACAGUUUGGCAUCUGGUGAGUAAGUGGUGUAAUAUCCCGCCUUUCUUCACCUUUUCAAAUCGGGAUUAAUUAUUCGAGCUACACAAAGGCUUGAUCCAGGUCUCAACUACAAAGAAGAUCGUGCAGUGCACACAAUGGGCCAGAUACGAGACAGUUCUCAACAACAUAAAUAUUGUCCAUCAAAAUAGGUUAAUGAAAGAAGAUUAAAGGCACAACUUUCAUGUGGAUAAAACAUAGGAUGUGUAAUUUCAAGUUUUGGUUCCCUUAUGUGUCCGUAAGAUUGUGUUUGGGCAGGUUCUAGCUCCUUGUUAGUUCUCUAUUUUUCUAAGGGUGUAAGGGGUGCUCACCUAAGAGGUGAGUCCCCUCUCUUACACAUAACCAACCAAAUAGUGCCACGUCAACUCCCCUCUAAUACUCCCCUAAUACCCCUUUUUUAUGGCGGCACUCCCCUCUUAGGUGAGUUCGAUUUUUUUUUUUUUUUUUUUUUUUUUUGUAAAAUUAUGCAUGUUUAUAAAUUAAAUAAAAGACAUUUCAUUA